This 465-nucleotide ribosomal RNA is filed under the name uncultured bacterium. Its description in RNAcentral is "partial 16S ribosomal RNA". It matches the Rfam family "Bacterial small subunit ribosomal RNA", at positions 29 to 507 of the family's 1533-position model. The record is from RNAcentral.
ACGCACGCUGGCGGCGUGCUUCACGCAUGCAAGUCGAACGGAAAGGCCCUGCUUGCCGGGUACUCGAGUGGCGAACGGGUGAGUAACACGUGGGUGAUCUGCCCUGCACUUCGGGAUAAGCUUGGGAAACUGGGUCUAAUACCGGAUAGGAACCAUCUUUAGUGUGGUGGUUGGAAAGUUUUUUCGGUGUAGGAUGAGCUCGCGGCCUAUCAGCUUGUUGGUGGGGUAAUGGCCUACCAAGGCGGCGACGGGUAGCCGGCCUGAGAGGGUGUACGGCCACAUUGGGACUGAGAUACGGCCCAGACUCCUACGGGAGGCAGCAGUGGGGAAUAUUGCACAAUGGGCGCAAGCCUGAUGCAGCGACGCCGCGUGGGGGAUGAAGGCCUUCGGGUUGUAAACUCCUUUCGCUAGGGACGAAGCUUUGUUGUGACGGUACCUAGAUAAGAAGCACCGGCUAACUACGUG